RNAcentral lists this ribosomal RNA (628 nucleotides) under uncultured bacterium. Its description in RNAcentral is "bacterial SSU rRNA". It matches the Rfam family "Bacterial small subunit ribosomal RNA", at positions 619 to 1245 of the family's 1533-position model. The record is from RNAcentral.
AACUGCAUCUGAAACUGUAUAUCUACAAUGUGGGAGAGGUAGAUGGAAUUUCUGGUGUAGGGGUAAAAUCCGUAGAGAUCAGAAGGAAUACCGAGUUGCGAAGGCGAUCUACUGGAACAUUAUUGACGCUGAGACGCGAAAGCGUGGGGAGCAAACAGGAUUAGAUACCCUGGUAGUCCACGCCCUAGACGAUGCACACUAGUUGUUGUGAGGCUCGACCUUGCAGUAAUGCAGUUAACACAUUAAGUGUGCCGCCUGGGGAGUACGGUCGCAAGAUUAAACUCAAGGAAUAGACGGGGACCCGCACAAUCGGUGGAGCAUGUGGUUUAAUUCGACGAUACACGAAGAACCUUACCUGGACUUGACAUAGUAAGAACUUUCUAGAGAUAGAUUGGUGUCUGCUUGCAGAAACUUAUAUACAGGUGCUGCACGGCUGUCGUCAGCUCGUGUCGUGAGAUGUUGGGUUAAGUCCCGCAACGAGCGCAACCCUCGUCAUUAGUUGCUAACAGUUCGGCUGAGAACUCUAAUGAGACUGCCUACGCAAGUAGGAGGAAGGUGAGGACGACGUCAAGUCAUCAUGGCCCUUACGUCCAGGGCUACACACGUGCUACACUGGGGUAUACAAAGA